CCUACGGGUGGCAGCAGUGAGGAAUAUUGGUCAAUGGCCGAGAGGCUGAACCAGCCAAGUCGCGUGAGGGAAGACGGCCCUACGGGUUGUAAACUUCUUUUGUCGGGGAGUAAAGUGAACCACGUGUGCCUUAUUGAGUGUACUUGAUGAAAAAGCAUCGGCUAACUCCGUGCCAGCAGCCGCGGUAAUACGGAGGAUUCGAGCGUUAUCCGGAUUUAUUGGGUUUAAAGGGUGCGGAGGUGGGUUGUGAAGUCAGGGGUGAAAUUUUGGGGCUCAACCCCGGAAUUGCGUUUGAUACUGGCUCUCUUGAGUACAGUAGAGGUAUGCGGAAUGCGUGGUGUAGCGGUGAAAUGCAUAGAUAUCACGCAGAACUCCGAUUGCGAAGGCAGCAUACCGGCGCGCAACUGACACUGAUGCUCGAAAGCGUGGGUAUCGAACAGGAUUAGAUACCCGAGUAGUC
This 460-nucleotide ribosomal RNA is filed under the name uncultured bacterium. RNAcentral describes it as "partial 16S ribosomal RNA". It matches the Rfam family "Bacterial small subunit ribosomal RNA", at positions 338 to 795 of the family's 1533-position model. The record is from RNAcentral.